This 479-nucleotide ribosomal RNA is filed under the name uncultured bacterium. RNAcentral's name for it is "partial 16S ribosomal RNA". It matches the Rfam family "Bacterial small subunit ribosomal RNA", at positions 38 to 507 of the family's 1533-position model. The record is from RNAcentral.
GGGGGGGGGGGGGGGGGGGGGGGAGGGGGGGGGGGCGGGGGGGGGGGGUGCGGCGGGGGUGAGGGAGGGGCGUACGGGUGCGGAACGGGUGGGCAACGUGCCUUUAUCUGGGGGAUAGCCUGUCGAGAGGACGAUUAAUACGCCAUAAUAUAUUGAACGGCAGCGGUUAAUAUUGAAAGCUCCGGCGGAUAGAGAUGGGCACGCGCAAGAUUAGCUAGUUGGUGAGGUAACGGCUCACCAAGGCGAUGAUCUUUAGGGGGCCUGAGAGGGUGAUCCCCCACACUGGUACUGAGACACGGACCAGACUCCUACGGGAGGCAGCAGUGAGGAAUAUUGGUCAAUGGGUGCAAGCCUGAACCAGCCAUCCCGCGUGAAGGACGACUGCCCUAUGGGUUGUAAACUUCUUUUGUAUAGGGAUAAACCUACCCUCGAGAGGGUAGCUGAAGGUACUAUACGAAUAAGCACCGGCUAACUCCGUG